GUCGGGAAUCUUGGACAAUGGGGGAAACCCUGAUCCAGCCACGCCGCGUGGGUGAUGGAGGCCUUCGGGUCGUAAAGCCCUGUCGGAGGGGAAGAAACGGUUUAAGGAUAAUACCCUUAGAUCUUGACGGUACCCUCGGAGGAAGCACCGGCUAACUACGUGCCAGCAGCCGCGGUAAUACGUAGGGUGCUAGCGUUGCUCGGAAUUACUGGGCGUAAAGGACGUGUAGGCGGCCUUGCAAGCGGGAUGUGAAAACCCCUGGCUCAACCAGGGAAGUGCAUUCCGAACUGCUUGGCUUGAGUCCGAGAGAGGGCGGUGGAAUUCCCGGUGGAACGGUGAAAUGUGUAGAUAUCGGGAGGAACACCUGCGGCGAAGGCGGCCGCCUGGCUCGGUACUGACGCUAAAGCGUGAAAGCGUGGGUAGCAAACAGGAUUAGAAACCCCUGUAGUCC
Molecule: ribosomal RNA, 451 nt
Filed under: uncultured bacterium
Lineage: Bacteria
Description: bacterial SSU rRNA
Rfam family: Bacterial small subunit ribosomal RNA
Source: RNAcentral